AGUGAACGCUGGCGGUAGGCCUAACACAUGCAAGUCGAACGGCAGCACAGUAAGAGCUUGCUCUUACGGGUGGCGAGUGGCGGACGGGUGAGGAAUACAUCGGAAUCUACUUUUUCGUGGGGGAUAACGUAGGGAAACUUACGCUAAUACCGCAUACGACCUACGGGUGAAAGCAGGGGAUCUUCGGACCUUGCGCGAUUGAAUGAGCCGAUGUCGGAUUAGCUAGUUGGCGGGGUAAAGGCCCACCAAGGCGACGAUCCGUAGCUGGUCUGAGAGGAUGAUCAGCCACACUGGAACUGAGACACGGUCCAGACUCCUACGGGAGGCAGCAGUGGGGAAUAUUGGACAAGGGCGCAAGCCUGAUCCAGCCAUACCGCGUGGGUGAAGAAGGCCUUCGGGUUGUAAAGCCCUUUUGUUGGGAAAGAAAAGCAGCAGGUUAAUACCCCGCUGUUCUGACGGUACCCAAAGAAUAAGCACCGGCUAACUUCGUG
This 491-nucleotide ribosomal RNA is filed under the name uncultured bacterium. RNAcentral describes it as "partial 16S ribosomal RNA". It matches the Rfam family "Bacterial small subunit ribosomal RNA", at positions 29 to 507 of the family's 1533-position model. The record is from RNAcentral.